Molecule: long non-coding RNA, 502 nt
Organism: Saccostrea cuccullata (small rock oyster)
Lineage: Eukaryota; Metazoa; Mollusca; Bivalvia; Ostreida; Ostreidae
Exons: 3
Source: RefSeq, a predicted model, not a curated record
AAAAUGUCCAAUAAAUUGAAUAAAAUGAUUAAGAGCUAAUAUUGGUCUCUCAAGGCUGACACUGGCAUAGUUUAAAAGGGAUGUCUGAAAAGAUCUAUUAAAAUUCUGGUUUGGCAUUUCUCCUGCAUGGAGAUCUAGUACCUCUUUCAUUGAAUCAGCUGUUAUAACAUAUCAUGGCCUUGAAUGAAGCAGCUCUUCGUGUUUUAUAAGGUGUGACUGAACCUAAAAUAAAUAAGCACAAUAAGUAUCCCUUCUACUGUAAUGACAAAAACAUAGUGUUUACUGUUACAACAUUGUUUUUCCUGGAACUUUGUAAAAUACACAUAACAUAUAUAAUGCUAAAAUAUUUGAUCAAAUAAAUUGAAUUAUUCAAUGUAAAUUAAUUUAUUUUUGAUUACUAUAUUUCCAAUAGACCAGCAUUCAACUUCACAAGACAGGCUGGUGCAUAGAGCUAAAAGUUCAAAUUUAAUUAAGUUCCAGGAAGAACAAGUCCUCUAGCCUC